GACGAACGCUGGCGGCGUGCUUAACACAUGCCAGUCGAACGGAAAGGCCCUGCUUUUGUGGGGUGCUCGAGUGGCGAACGGGUGAGUAACACGUGAGUAACCUGCCCUUGACUUUGGGAUAACUCCAGGAAACUGGGGCUAAUACCGGAUAGGAGCUCCUGCUGCAUGGUGGGGGUUGGAAAGUUUCGGCGGUUGGGGAUGGACUCGCGGCUUAUCAGCUUGUUGGUGGGGUAGUGGCUUACCAAGGCUUUGACGGGUAGCCGGCCUGAGAGGGGGACCGGCCACAUUGGGACUGAGAUACGGCCCAGACUCCUACGGGACGCAGCAGUGGGGAAUAUUGCACAAUGGGCGGAAGCCUGAUGCAGCAACGCCGCGUGCGGGAUGACGGCCUUCGGGUUGUAAACCGCUUUCGCCUGUGACGAAGCGUGAGUGACGGUAAUGGGUAAAGAAGCACCGGCUAACUACGUG
This 468-nucleotide ribosomal RNA is filed under the name uncultured bacterium. Its description in RNAcentral is "partial 16S ribosomal RNA". It matches the Rfam family "Bacterial small subunit ribosomal RNA", at positions 28 to 507 of the family's 1533-position model. The record is from RNAcentral.